RNAcentral lists this ribosomal RNA (961 nucleotides) under Gyalecta herculina. RNAcentral's name for it is "partial 28S ribosomal RNA". It matches the Rfam family "Eukaryotic large subunit ribosomal RNA", at positions 157 to 1120 of the family's 3401-position model. The record is from RNAcentral. Lineage: Eukaryota; Fungi; Ascomycota; Lecanoromycetes; Ostropales; Gyalectaceae.
AAGUGCCUCCGGUGCGACGACGGUCUAAGUCUCCUGGAACGGUGCGUCAUAGAGGGUGAGAAUCCCGUAUGCGACCGCCAGUCAAACCGAUGCGAGGCCCUUUCGAAGAGUCGAGUUGUUUGGGAAUGCAGCUCAAAAUGGGUGGUAAAUUUCAUCUAAAGCUAAAUACCGGCCAGAGACCGAUAGCGCACAAGUAGAGUGAUCGAAAGAUGAAAAGCACUUUGGAAAGAGAGUUAAAAAGCAUGUGAAAUUGUUGAAGGGGAAGSGCUUGCAACCAGACUCGUUUCGCGGGUGAUCAACCUUUUUCCCUUUCGGGGGGCUGGUGCACUCAUCCGCAAUCGGGCCAGCAUCGAUUUCGGCCGUCGGAAGAAGGUUUGGGGAACGUAGCUCUCUCCGGGGAGUGUUAUAGCCCCUUUCGUAAUGCGGCGAGUCGGGAUCGAGGACCGCGCCUUUUUUGCUAGGAUGCUGGCGUAAUGGUUGCCAGCGACCCGUCUUGAAACACGGACCAAGGAGUCGACCAACCAUGCGAGUGUUUGGGCAUCAAACCCACACGCGUAAUGAAAGUGAACGGAGGUGGGAACCCCCUUCCGGGGGCGCACCAUCGACCGAUCCUGAUGUCUUCGGAUGGAUUUGAGUAUGAGCAUUUUUGGUCGGACCCGAAAGAUGAUGAACUAUGCCUGAGUAGGGUGAAGUCAGGGGAAACCCUGAUGGAGGCUCGCAGCGGUUCUGACGUGCAAAUCGAUCGUCAAACUUGGGUAUAGGGGCGAAAGACUAAUCGAAUCAUCUAGUAGCUGGUUCCUGCCGAAGUUUCCCUCAGGAUAGCAGUAACUUUUUUCAGUUUUAUGAGGUAAAGCGAAUGAUUAGAGGUCUGGGGGCAGAAACUGCCUUCACCUAUUCUCAAACUUUGAAUAUGUAAGAAGUCCUUGUUGCUUAGUUGAACGUGGACAUUUGAAUGUACAGU